CGGCGUGCCUAACACAUGCAAGUCGUACGAGAAAGCCGGCUUCGGCUGGUGAGUAAAGUGGCGCACGGGUGAGUAACGCGUGGAUAAUCUGCCCUUAAGUGUGGAAUAACGUACCGAAAGGUGCGCUAAUACCGCAUAAUGCCUGGCAACACAAGUUGUCCGGCCAAAGAAGGCCUCUGUUUACAAGCUUUCGCUUCAGGAUGAGUCCGCGUACCAUUAGCUUGUUGGUGGGGUAAUGGCCUACCAAGGCUGCGAUGGUUAGCUGGUCUGAGAGGAUGAUCAGCCACACUGGAACUGAGACACGGUCCAGACUCCUACGGGAGGCAGCAGUGAGGAAUAUUGCGCAAUGGGGGCAACCCUGACGCAGCAACGCCGCGUGAGUGAGGAAGGUUUUCGGACUGUAAAGCUCUGUCGAGCGGGAAGAAGUGUACCAUGGCUAAUAUCCAUGAUAUUUGACGGUACCGCUAGAGGAAGCACCAGCUAACUCCGUG
Molecule: ribosomal RNA, 491 nt
Filed under: uncultured bacterium
Lineage: Bacteria
Description: bacterial SSU rRNA
Rfam family: Bacterial small subunit ribosomal RNA
Source: RNAcentral